This 253-nucleotide ribosomal RNA is filed under the name uncultured bacterium. Its description in RNAcentral is "partial 16S ribosomal RNA". It matches the Rfam family "Bacterial small subunit ribosomal RNA", at positions 524 to 776 of the family's 1533-position model. The record is from RNAcentral.
UACGUAGGGUGCAAGCGUUAAUCGGAAUUACUGGGCGUAAAGCGUGCGCAGGCGGUUUCUUAAGUCAGAUGUGAAAGCCCCGGGCUUAACCUGGGGGCUGCAUUUGAUACGUGUGGGCUUGAGUGCGGAAGAGGGUCGUGGAAUUCCCAGUGUAGAGGUGAAAUUCGUAGAUAUCGAGAGGAACACCGGUGGCGAAGGCGGCCUUCUGGACAGUGACUGACGCUGAGACGCGAAAGCGUGGGUAGCAAACAGG